GAUCCAUGGUUUUGAUUUGAUUUAUUCGAAUCGUUCUUUCUAGCUCUUGGUCUAAUGAGUGUAAAUCAUGUUGUAAUGAUCGGCAUCCUAGCAUGCACCCAAAAGAUCUCAUCGAGUUUUAAUUUCAGUAAGUUUUUUUUUUGAAAGAGAAGAAGAGAAAAGGAGGAGAGAAAAGAGUUCUAAAGAAGAGAACCUAAGGAGUUCUAAGGCUAAGAAGAGAGA
Molecule: long non-coding RNA, 222 nt
Filed under: Elaeis guineensis (African oil palm)
Lineage: Eukaryota; Viridiplantae; Streptophyta; Magnoliopsida; Arecales; Arecaceae
Description: long non-coding RNA (EGUI_LNC015709)
Source: RNAcentral